RNAcentral lists this ribosomal RNA (332 nucleotides) under uncultured eukaryote. RNAcentral's name for it is "partial 18S ribosomal RNA". It matches the Rfam family "Eukaryotic small subunit ribosomal RNA", at positions 592 to 976 of the family's 1831-position model. The record is from RNAcentral.
CAAUAGCGUAUAUUAAAGUUGUUGCAGUUAAAAAGCUCGUAGUUGAAUUUCGGGUCCCCGCGCUCGGCGCUUCAUUGUGCCGUCGUGGUGUCCCUCCUCGCCGUAAGGCGUCCUUUACUGUGAAAAAAUUAGAGUGUUCAAAGCAGGCAAUCGCUUGAAUACAUUAGCAUGGAAUAAUAAGAUAGGAUCUUGUCUAUUUUGUUGGUUGCGGACAACGAUAAUGAUUAAUAGGGAUAGUUGGGGGUGUCCGUAUUGAGCUGUCAGAGGUGAAAUUCUUGGAUUUGCUCAAGACGAACUACUGCGAAAGUAUUCACCAAGGAUGUUUUCAUUAA